GUAGGUGGCAAGCGUUGUCCGGAAUUAUUGGGCGUAAAGCGCGCGCAGGCGGUUCUUUAAGUCUGAUGUGAAAGCCCACGGCUCAACCGUGGAGGGUCAUUGGAAACUGGAGAACUUGAGUACAGAAGAGGAAAGCGGAAUUCCACGUGUAGCGGUGAAAUGCGUAGAGAUGUGGAGGAACACCAGUGGCGAAGGCGGCUUUCUGGUCUGUAAUUGACGCUGAGGCGCGAAAGCGUGGGGAGCAAACAGGGAUUAGAUACCCUGGUAGUCCACGCCGUAAACGAUGAGUGCUAAGUGUUAGGGGGUUUCCGCCCCCUUAGUGCUGCAGCUAACGCAUUAAGCACUCCGCCUGGGGAGUACGGCCGCAAGGCUG
RNAcentral lists this ribosomal RNA (373 nucleotides) under uncultured organism. Its description in RNAcentral is "partial 16S ribosomal RNA". It matches the Rfam family "Bacterial small subunit ribosomal RNA", at positions 527 to 896 of the family's 1533-position model. The record is from RNAcentral.